Molecule: long non-coding RNA, 5135 nt
Filed under: Nicotiana tabacum (common tobacco)
Lineage: Eukaryota; Viridiplantae; Streptophyta; Magnoliopsida; Solanales; Solanaceae
Description: long non-coding RNA (NTAB_LNC001929)
Source: RNAcentral
UCACAUAAAAAUGUUACAGCAACCAGGUUCAUCUGUUCAAAUCAAACAGAAAAAAAUGACCGCCCAAUACACUAAACUCACGCUAUACGUAGGAUCCGAGGAAGAUUCGGACCACAAGGGUCUAUUGUAUGCAGCCUUACCUACAUUUAUGCAAGAGGCUAUUUCCACGGCUUGAACCCAUAACCUCCUGGUUACAUGACAGCAACUUUACCAGUUAUUGUAACAUUAUUGCAACUCAUUAAUGAAUUAAAUGAAUCGAACUAAGAUUGGAUAAACCAAAAUAAAUAUAGGACAACUGGAAGACCGAGAUUCCUCUAGAUAGCAUGACAUACGGCUUGGUAUGUGUCUAAAUAAGGUGUAAAAAUCCAAUCGAUCAAAAUUAAACUCAAAGUUCCUUAAAUACGCAUAAUUUGAAGAUUGAAAAUACUCCAUUUAUCUUUUAUCGAUGCUAGCCUCCCCUUUGAGUAGAAACCUUGCAUUUUGAAACCAGAAAACAUCCAGCUAGAGCUAGCUUUAAAAGUGUGUAUUCUUCUUGCAUAAUUGCCACGUGCAAAUACCAAAUUUAUCUUUCGAUCUUACUUGCUCACCCGAAUUUUUAUUCAAAAGAAACUAUCAACAUCCGCAUUCUUAGAGCAAGACCACAGAGAACAGUGAAUUCACCAACCAAAAAUAAAAGAACGCCAGUGAAAACCCAUAGGGUUUUAUCCUCAUCCAAGAGGCCCUAAAGUGCAAUAGUAGCAAUGAACUUGUUUUGAAUAAUCUUAAUUGGGGACUAUUGAGCCAUUUUAUCGACAGUUAAAUGGUGAUUAUUCACUAAGAUUAGUUCCCAGAAUUAUAAGUAGAAUACAAACACGAGAUAGAGUUAAUAUGAAGAGUCAUUACACAGAGAAACCAUCGGCCAACAGAGUUCCACCCAGAUAACAAGAUCCUAUACUACAAAAAGUUAAAAGAGUGGUUAUGUUCGGGUUGUUUGGGGGGGGGGGGGGGGGUUAAAGAUCAUGGGUUUAUGUGAUAAUUAGUUCUCUGCGCCUUGUUUGGUAUGCGCAGUACCCAGAAAAUAUGGACUGUCAUCACAGGUCAGCAGAGAAAGUAAAUACAACAUGAGUACAUGACUAUGAUAUCCAAAAUCAAGUUCACAGUUAAUAAGCAGGCAGCCUAAUUCAACCCAUACACAGACAACGCUAACUCACUCAACAAUCGUCGUAACAAAUAAGGGAUGAAAACUAUAAUUAUGUUCAUACACUUCUCUCGUAAAGAAAAAUUAACAACAAUGUAACAAAAAGCAUUAUUCAACAGUUUCCUUGGAUGAGCAAAUACUCUUUAUGCCGCGAAUCUAAAAGAGCACCAAAGACAUGAAAAAAUAAAAAGGGACAACGACCAGUGAGCUAUAUACUACAGGGACAUACUAUACAAGAAGGUAUGAGACAACAUUUCUAAUUAUACACCCUGCCCUAGGAAAAUAUCUCAACACAGUUUUGAGUUCAACCUGACAUUUUACCCAAGAAGGAAAAAGGAAAAUAAGAGAAGAAACCUGAUUAUUUUGGAAAAGAAAACCUGAUAUUGUCUGCAGUAGUUAGCAUUUCUCAACAAAAAAAAAAGUUAGUUUAUUCUCAUAAUAACCCUGAGAAAACAUUAAACAAAUCGAUACUGCAUACCUAAAAUUAGUCCACUUGGUGGCCAAAACAUUAGUUAUCUCCGUUUGACCUGCAGAUAACAGAUUCAAAUUGGCAAGGGUAAUGAAAGUUUUACAAGCACAGAUAUCAAUGACAAGCAAUAUCACGGUAAGCUGGACCAUGAGAUACCCAAAUCAUGCAAACUUCUCAGCAUCUGCACAGAGGGUUCGACUGAGAGACAUCCAAUUGAAAGUCUAAUUCCAACCUCUGGAUCACGAGAGAUACCAAUUUAGAGCCUUCGCAGCUCUGCCAAAACUUCCUUGUCACCUCCUAGAAUGCACCCAUUCUUGCAGAAAGACUUGUCUAUACAAUUCAACCGCGCAUUAGACCCUCAUGUCAAUAUUAAGCAUCUUUUUCCAAGGAAAUAACACGUGGACUAAACUCAGGGGCCGGGAAAAAUCUCUCCUAUCAUCUUCAAACCUGUCUAUGUGGCACAUAGCCAGCCCCAACCUGAAUAAAGGAUAAGUACUGAGUAGAUUGAUGGCCUACAAGGAUUCCCCUGAAUACUGCAUUCGGCUCUUGAAGUAGGCCUAAACAGAGUGGAAUGGUGGAUGACUUAUAUAAUCGACAACGACCAUUCUAAGAGGCAUAAUUGAUAUCAUCCUCAACCGGAAAUUAGGUUCUUCAAGAAUGAGUCAGGAGAAGUAGUCUCAAAUAUAAAGAAAAUUCCUUAAUGUCACUAAACCAGUAAUAAUAUAAGACAUUCCACUCAUGUGCAAAGUUCGAUGUAUCACUGACUAGGAGAGAUUGUCAAAGAUUUAGGCCAUAGCUAAUCUACUAACAUUAUUCAAUAGAUCCCAUCCUGUCACAACCAUGCUUAAAAGGCUUAAUCCUGUUUCAGUUUCUAACCACUAAUUUCUUUUUUCUACCAUGUUUUUUUUUUUGGAGAAUGGUAAUGAUUUCUUCUACCAUGGUUCCAUUCUGAAAUUAAUUCAAAAAGUUUUUUAUGAUGCAUUUAUAAUAGCCUAUGCGUUGCAAAUAAAGAACAUCCUAUGCCCGAUUGACUACUAUACUGGGAGAUAAGACUGAUAUUGAAAGAGGUUUUCCUAUAUGGUUGUGAGAUCAUUUUGAUUUAGUGUUAUAAAUCAAAUGUGUUGGAAUAUUGAAAGGAUGGGAGACAGGAAAUACAAAAGAACAUACUUGCAGUUAUAUACCCCAAUACUACACUCUGAACAACAAUGAUGCACAUUAUGCACUACAUCAGCCUACAUGUUUUCACAGGGCUAAGUCAUAUUCCACUCCUAAACAGUUCAGUCAUUACAUGAUGCCACAAGCUUGUCAUAUGACUCAUAUACCAUGGAAGGCCUGUAGAAUAUAGAUUAAUCAAGCUAUCUGGUCAAACAUAAACUACAAGUACCUCCUAGUCAAACCGGCCGAUCCUUUUGCAUGAUAUCUCAUCCACUCAAAACAACUACAUACAGAUCGAGCAACCGAGCAGGCAGAAAGCAACACCCUCAUUAAAGUUAAAUGACCUAAAUCUUCAGAGAAAUUAAAUUUAAGCCAAAGAUGAACAUUAGUGAUCUAGUGCUUUAUCUCAACCAUCUUGAUGAGCAUUCAUUCUUGGGAUAAUCCAAAAGAAUGAGUCUACAUCAAGUAGCGAUGAUUCGUCACCUAUAUUAGCAGAUUGACACAAUUACAACUUAAAAGCUAUUUUUUUACAAGGUAAGGUAAUUGUAUAACUUAUAAGCUAUUGCAGUAACGCCAACCUAACUAUCUGCACAAAUUAAAGUGUAAGGGCCUGACAGCAUCUCGCCAAAAAAAAUCCACCCAAAGAAAAACCUCCCUAGCAUAUUCCAGGUAUUCAUCAUAUCAAGCAUGGAAACAGCUGUAUGAACUUAUUUAUAGCACAGAUGAUCCUUCAAAAGCAUUACCCUUGAAAUCUUAUGAGAUCUUGAGCAAAAUAAAUGCAGAAGCAUAGCUCAUCUAGAUUCACUCUCAUGAAAUCAAGACCAAAACGUUAAGCAUCAGCCCCAUGUUCACUUCACAAGAAACUAUUUACAAGCAAGGAAAAUGGGUGUGUGUUCACAAAUUUGAUAUUAAAGCUAACUUGAUCAAAAUGUUUUCAGAUUUCAAUUUCCUAUCUAUUUUGUACCAAAAAGAAGACUAUGUUGCUCGGAGUUAUGUUUACUUGUAUCCUCUACAGUUUUCUUUUUUGACAAGGUGUCCACUUGAACUUUCUUUUCUGUUUUCCUUUUUGCUUGUUUAGGAUCCCUUUAGAAGCAGGGGAUUUUCCAGUCAAAGACCGGCAGUUAUUACACCAUGCAAGAAGACGUUACAGAGGAGGAGUUAAAAUAGAGGUUUAAAAAUUGAACCUGUUAGGAAAUGGAAACUACAUGACCCUAGCACAUAUAUCCGGUCUCUACUUUGGUACAUUUAACAGUUAGCCGUCACUCUGAAGCUGUUCAGCAGGUAUCAGCCACAAGAAAGGCGAUUUACCAAUAUAAGAAGAAUCCUAGCGAUACAGCUCUAAUUAGCCUUUAGUAGCAUGAAAUGCUAAAAUUGGUCUCGCUGCAGUAAAUAACUAGUGGAACUAUACCAUUAUUAUUUUCAACUCUAAAGCAAUCAAUUCUCUGGUGAAAUGUUAGUCUGAACUUUUAACAUUUAACUGAUCAAUUUCUUACUUAAUGACUAUAACUUGAGACAACUGUUCUCUUUUCCUGAUGCAUAAUAGGCAGUCAAUCUUACAAGUGCAAUCUUUCAUUCAUAGGCAAAAUGAUUAGGUAGUAACCUCCGGACCUAGUUCUACUUAGGCAUUGAGAGGAGUUUAAUGGAUUUUCGACUAAGUAUAACACAUAUAACUAGUAAUGUUCUGGAAAAAAAAGAAGAAGAGUGGAACAACCAGUACAAGCCUACAUGAAGAAACAAGUAAGUGCUUGGAUGUCCAUGCUAUUCUAUUUUUGACUUCUAAAAGCUAGUAGUCUUUAAAGCAUCAUCUAAUCAUAAUCCAAUUAACUUCUAAACCUAUUUCUACCUGCAACGCUGAUGUUUUUGCCAAUUAGCAUUUGAUGGGAAGCUUAUUUUUCGCAAAAUUGACAAGUACACGAGACCCUGCCAAAGCUAUAUAAUAAACAGGUAAUUUAAUCAAACAGACAGCUUUUAUACUAGGACAACAAAACACAAUCACAAAAUUUAUUUCACAAAAGAUCAAUUCAUAUACACAAGCUUGUAAAUAACUAGGCAUGUAACUGUACAUUGCACACAAUGAGAACCUCUUGCAACUAUAUGUGAGAAAUUAGAUAAGCAAUGGACUGAAGAAGGUUGUCAAAAGGGUAGAAACAAGAAAGGAAUGAGCACAAAAAGCUGACUCAACUAGAAGAGGACUAGUAUUCUUAUUGCACACCCAAUUAUAUCAAGGCUCAAUGAGGAUAGAACAAUGAGCAUGUAAAUGAAGGAUAAUCUUUUUUAAAUGAGAAGAGAGAGGAGGGAUUGUUAGAGGAACUACUAGGAAGAAACAAGGGCCUC